This is a long non-coding RNA of Passer domesticus (house sparrow), 479 nucleotides long. RefSeq lists it as uncharacterized. The record is from RefSeq and is a predicted model, not a curated record. The transcript has 3 exons. Lineage: Eukaryota; Metazoa; Chordata; Aves; Passeriformes; Passeridae.
ACACAGCCUGCUGACCACACAUCUAAAAAGGGAAAGGUGGAGGACAGGGAAAGGCAUGUAAUUUCACCUACUUCCAAAUUAGGACUUGGGCAAUGUUCCCUGGACAAGGAAGUGAACAAAUCCUUGAAGCAUUCUCAACAAAAUCCAGAGAGUGGAGGCUAACUUGAGCAGCUCCAAGGAGUGACAGAAACAAAACAAAACAUACAGAGUCAUCUACUCAUCUCUGCCUCACUAUUCCUUCAUCUUGAUUGACUUCCUCCAUCUUGGAGGUGACUCAAAGCUGCUGCUCUGGAAACUGUGGAAACAAACCAAGAGUCAGAAAAGCAGCCCUGGGAAGUCAUAAAAUCAACAGCUUCUAGCUGCCGAAUGCCAGACCCAAAGUGCUUUUCACUGCUGCUUGUUUGAAACAAUAUUUGGGAUGCCAGAACAAGAGCAAAAUUCAGGAUUACAGGCAGGUGUGCUGUUGGUAGAAGUAUUGC